GACGAACGCUGGCGGCGUGCUUAACACAUGCAAGUCGAACGAAGAGCGAUGGAAGCUUGCUUCUAUCAAUCUUAGUGGCGAACGGGUGAGUAACGCGUAAUCAACCUGCCCUUCAGAGGGGGACAACAGUUGGAAACGACUGCUAAUACCGCAUACGAUCUAAUCUCGGCAUCGAGGAUAGAUGAAAGGUGGCCUCUACAUGUAAGCUAUCACUGAAGGAGGGGAUUGCGUCUGAUUAGCUAGUUGGAGGGGUAACGGCCCACCAAGGCGAUGAUCAGUAGCCGGUCGGAGAGGAUGAACGGCCACAUUGGGACUGAGACACGGCCCAGACUCCUACGGGAGGCAGCAGUGGGGAAUCUUCCGCAAUGGACGAAAGUCUGACGGAGCAACGCCGCGUGAGUGAUGACGGCCUUCGGGUUGUAAAGCUCGGUUAAUCGGGACGAAAGGCCUUCUUGCGAAUAGUGAGAAGGAUUGACGGUACCGGAAUAGAAAGCCACGGCUAACUACGUG
This 510-nucleotide ribosomal RNA is filed under the name uncultured bacterium. Its description in RNAcentral is "partial 16S ribosomal RNA". It matches the Rfam family "Bacterial small subunit ribosomal RNA", at positions 28 to 507 of the family's 1533-position model. The record is from RNAcentral.